This is a long non-coding RNA of Rhododendron vialii, 279 nucleotides long. RefSeq lists it as uncharacterized. NCBI's taxonomy places the organism in Eukaryota, Viridiplantae, Streptophyta, Magnoliopsida, Ericales, Ericaceae. The transcript is spliced from 2 exons. The record is from RefSeq and is a predicted model, not a curated record.
GUGUUCCAGUCAUUUUCUCUGGCUGUCAAGGACAAAAUAUUCAGAAAUAACCAUCUUGCCAGGAUCAAUGAUACCAAACUAUGACCCACAUCCAUUCAUCUCUUUGUCAGAUAAACAAUGAAGGCCAUGGUCAAUGUGGCUUGAUCAUUGCUAUUUAUUAAGCCUCUGAAGAUUCUGUAUCUUACUUUCCUAUUGCUGGUGUGUAACUUGUUUCGUGCAAAGUCACUAAUUCUUUGCUUGUUCACAUUAACAGCCAAGUAGAAUAAAGUUUAUUCCACA